AAUCAACGCUGGCGGCGUGCCUAACACAUGCAAGUCGCACGAGAAAGGGGAGCAAUCCCUGAGUAAAGUGGCGCACGGGUGGGUAACACGUGAAUCAUCUACCUCCGAGUGGGGAAUAACUGAGAGAAAUCUUAGCUAAUACCGCAUAACACUUACGAGUCAAAGCAGCAAUGCGCUUGGAGAGGAGUUCGCGGCCGAUUAGUUAGUUGGCGGGGUAAUGGCCCACCAAGACGAUGAUCGGUAUCCGGCCUGAGAGGGCGCACGGACACACUGGAACUGAAACACGGUCCAGACUCCUACGGGAGGCAGCAGUGGGGAAUUUUGCGCAAUGGGGGAAACCCGUGACGCAGCAACGCCGCGUGGAGGAUGAAGUAUCUUGGUACGUAAACUCCUUUCGAUUGGGAAGAUAAUGACGGUACCAAUAGAAGAAG
RNAcentral lists this ribosomal RNA (431 nucleotides) under uncultured bacterium. RNAcentral describes it as "bacterial SSU rRNA". It matches the Rfam family "Bacterial small subunit ribosomal RNA", at positions 32 to 490 of the family's 1533-position model. The record is from RNAcentral.